UUUCGAGAUUCAAAAGUCCAACCAAACCUCCUACAAUCCUCUUUAACUACUCUCUCCCUUCUUUUCCAAUCGUCUUUUUGUUCUUCUUCAUCUUCUCUUCCUCAAGAAAAUCUUUACUGAACGUCAAGGGAUCGACAGAAGCAUGGAUCGAGAGCAAGAAGAGAUGCAGUUCCUUGGCCUCGUCGGCAUCUGCAAAGAGUCCUGCAAGGUCAUCUUCUCAUGGAGGAAGAUCUUCACCCAGAUCACCUUGGCCCUGAUCCUCCCUCUCGCCUUCGCCUUCCUCCUCCACAUCGAAGUCUCCGACGUCCUCCACAGGCGGAUCAUCCGCAACGCGAUCCAGCUCCACGAGACCCGCCCCGAUAGUUCCCGCCACGACAGGAUCUCCAGCGUCCUCUCCAAGGAGUUGACCGUCUACCUGCUCUUCAAUGCCCUCUACUUCACCGUCCUCCUCGUGUUCUCCCUCCUCUCGACCUCGGCCAUCGUCUACACCAUCGCGUGCAUCUACACCGGCCGCGAGGUCACGUUCCGGAAGGUGAUGAGCGUGGUCCCGAGGGUCUGGAGGCGGCUGAUGGUCACCUUCGUGUGCAUCUUCCUGGCCAUGUUCGUAUACCACUUGGUCGCCAUGAUGAUCCUGUUCGCGUGCGCGAUCUUCAUCGGUGACACGAACUUCGGCAUCCGGAUCUUCUAUUUUCUAGGGAUCCCGUACUUGGUCGGGUUCGUGUACAUGACCAUAGUGUGGCAAUUGGCGAGCGUGGUCUCCGUCCUGGAGGAAGAUUACGGGGUCAAGGCCAUGAUCAAGAGCAAGAACCUGAUAAAGGGCAAGAUGGUUGCGUGCAUAAUCAUAUUCUUCGUACUCACCAUUUCCUACUUCCUAAUUCAAUUCGCGUUCAGGAGGUUGGUCGUCUAUGGCCGCUCGGCAGAGAUGUUAGGCAGGUCUGGCUAUGGAGCUCUGUGUUUCUUUUUUCUUUCCUUGCUGAUGCUGUUGGGGCUCGUCGUCAAGACGGUGAUCUACUUCGUCUGCAAGUCGUACCACCACGAGAACAUCGACAAGUCGGUCCUGUCGGAUCAUCUCGAGGUCUUUCUCGGAGAAUAUGUUCCUCUCAAAUCCAAGGAUGUUCAGCUUGAGCAAUCCGACGUUUGACUCUUCCUUCGUGUUCUUCUUAUCCUUUUUCCUUUUUCUGUUUUUUCUUCCGUGGGACGAGAUAUUUAGAUACUUGAUACCUUAUGCACUAUUAAAAUAUCAAAGCAAAAAUUUUAUUUUCUGUAUCUUGUUUAUCCAUCGGCAAAUGGCUAAGUUAGAUGUAUGCUCUAAUUUUGUAUGAAUAUAUGCAAUAAUUAAGCCGGCCGUCUAUUAUUUUUUGUGUUUGGUGCUCAACCGUGUGGCCGAUUUGAGCCAGUGUCUUUCCCAAGGCGUGUUGACUUUGAAUGAUGGAGUUUUCCAAGUAAUUACGUGGUGCACGCAUAUGUUGACUUUGAAUUCUUCUUUGGCCCCGGAUAAAGAAACAUAUUACGUAGCGAAUGGGGCCACGUGUGCGUGGGAGAUCAGAGGAAAUUACUGGGAAAGUUCUAAACCUUGUGCAACUGUCAAUUUAAUAAAAAACUUUUAAUUUAAGCAAUUGAGUUUUAAUUUUUUUAACAAUUAAUCAAUGCGAUUCAUUUGGCUAAUUUUGGUGGGGAAUCAUUGAUGUAAGCGCUAACCGUCCUAUGUGGCAUGCCAUAGUUAAUGUAUAUAACUUCUUCUUUUUUAAAAAAAAUUUCUUCCCAUAUUUUUUUCUUUUCUUUUUGCCAAUUGUCGGCCAUCACUUGUAAGGGAUGGGCGGGAUUACCCUAGCUUGGGCAAGGGUCAGUUUGGCAUAUUUGGCAAGGGUGGUCCUUGCCCUCACCUAGGCAAGGAGGAUCAGCCUUGCUAAAUUCAACAAAAGAAGCCCUUAUUGGUGCUUGCCCUAGCCCAGGCGAGCCCAGAUGAGGCCAGCACUUGCCGCCCAUCGCUUAUGGUCAAUGAGCGGCAACCAACAACUGACAAAAGGAAAAGGGAAAAAAAUGAUAUUUUUAAUUUUUUUUAAAAAAAUUAUCCAUAUUAGUAUCAAUCAUGCCGUGUUGGACGACCAAGGUCCACGUCAAUGAUUUUCUAGCGAAAUCGGCUUGGGUGGACUACGUUAGUUAAAUUGUCAAAAGAUUUAUGACUAAAUUGAUCAAGUUAAAAAAUUUAUAAUUGAAUGAACAUAAGUGUAAUAGAUUUAUGAUUUUCUUAUUAAUUUCCUUGAGAGAUACAAGGCGAUGAACCUUUUGUAUUAAUUAUCACUAUUCUGUGCUGAAAAGAAACUAAUCUCUUAAAUAUUAAUUUUUGAAAAUUAGCAUUGGUCAAUUUAAAUUUCUUCUUCCAACCAAUUUCAUUGUUUGAGAAACAGGGGGAUACUACUUCAACUUGGGGCAUUCCACUUUGGUAGCUUUGGAAACGCCAUAUUGUAUUUAAAAAAAUGCUAGUCAUGCAGCAAAGAUAACUCCAACCCAUAAUUCCAGCGUGGGGUACAGAAGGCUUUGGAGAAAUCGUUAUUUCAGUCCUACUUCUGUCCUACAAAUUUUAGUUUAGUUCUAAAUUUUUUAAUUAAUCAGAUGUAGUCUUAAACCUUUUANNNNNNNNNNNNNNNNNNNNNNNNNNNNNNNNNNNNNNNNNNNNNNNNNNNNNNNNNNNNNNNNNNNNNNNNNNNNNNNNNNNNNNNNNNNNNNNNNNNNUCGUUCACUACCAAGCUACAUUGUUAUUUCACAACAAAUACAUCUUCUGCCUGCAAUGAUGUAAGGAAUGUUUUUUCUUUUCUUUUUUUGCCUCAAUUUGAAAUAUACAUCGCUGGAAUAAUUACCAAAUGCAUAAUUUCCUCUACGAUUAUGUGCCUUUCAAAAGAUGAGUUUCUCCGAUCUUUCAAUUGUUUUCUCGUUCGCCGUCUUUUUCACAAUAUAAAAUGACAGUGAGUCUGCUAGAGCAUCGUUGCCAUCCUGCUAUAACUUUGUGAUUUAUAUGAUUCUCUAAAUUUAAAAGUCCGCAAAUCUUGCCUAAUCGCCAAAAGCUUUUCCAUCUUCUAUUGAUUACGCUGAGUAUGCAUUGUCCAAAUCGUAUGAUGGUAUAUGAUAAAUCCUUUGUUUAUGCUGAUGUUUACUUUAUACAUACCCAUCAAAUGGAUAAUUUGUGGUUAUUCGAAACCUUUUUAUUCUCAUCAGCAUGGAGAAGCUAGAGAUGUUGGAGUCAUAUUGCCUAUCAAUGUCGAUUCUCCAUUAGUAAUGUUAUUAAGGAUUCAUUCAAUUGUCCAUCAUCGAGUUCUUCUCAUGAUCUGCCCUGCUAUGGAGUUGGAUCCUGCAAUAUUCAUGCGUAGCCGAUGUGAUCCGAUUCAGGCCCUUGAGAAUUACAAACCCGCCACCCAUCUUUCUUCUUCUUGGCCAUUCCGAGGUUCGAUCCCGUGUCUUGUCCCUUGGUCUCCAACCCCGUGCCGCCACGGACCGCCGCGCCCGAUGGCUCUCUGUUUUCUCCAUCUGGGUUUGUCGGAGUCGAGCCGGGUCUUUCGCUUUAGACCCCAAUCAUCAUCCUUUUGCAUGAAGGCCUGCCGUCUUUUGAAGGCCCGUAGCUGGUUCCUAAGACCCAAGCUCGUCGACAGCUCUUUCCGGACCCGGAAAGCUGGCUCCAGAAAAGCAGUUGCCAUAUGAUAAGCGCCACUGAAAAGUGACGGUUGAUACAAAAGAAACUGUUUUGCUCCCGCGGAAAAGCGGUUCCUUGGGGAUUUAUUUAUUGCAGGGGAAGAACUGGAAAGGCAAGUGAAGCUCGUGCUCGUGGGGUUCUCUUCCCUAGUGCCCCAUCAUCUCUCCCUCCCUCCCUCCCUCCCUCCCUCUCUCUCUCUCUCCCCCUCUCUCUCUCUCUCUACCCCUCUACUUUUUCAUUCACAUCUCUUUCAUUGAUUUCUCUGUUCAUUCUGAGCUCUGAACAAGGAGUUCCUCCAACAAGUCCAAUCAUGGUGAAGGAGACCGAGUACUACGACGUUCUCGGCGUCAGCCGUUCUGUCUCCGAUGACGAGAUUCGCAAGGCCUAUUAUCUCAAGGUAAAACAGGCGGUUCUGCUUUCCUUUUCCUGGUUGUUGGAUCGGUUACAUUAGUGACUGAGUCGUGAUUGGUCGAUUCGAAUUUCUUUUCACAACUAUGUUUUAGUAAACUGAGGCUUCUGGGAUUAGUUCCAAAUGUGAUUGAUCUCUGAUUAAUCGAUUCUAGGGAAAAGUACAAAAAAAGUUCUAAACCUAUUGUAUUUGUACUAAUUCAGUCCUAAACUUUUCAAUUGAACUAAUUUAGUCCUAAACCUUUUAAUAUUGGUACCAAUUUAGUCCAUUCGGCCAAUUUUGGCUAGCCGGUGCUGAUGUGGACGUCGGCCGGUGGUCGGACGCUAACGUGGCAAUUUUUAUGUUUUUUUUUUUUUUUCGAAUUUUUUAUUAAUUUUUUCUCUUUCUUUUUUUUUUUCUUUUUCUUUUCCGGUGGUGGUGAGGCUCGUUGGCCUCGCCGACCACUGGGUGAGGGCCGUGAAGCCCUCGCCUACCGCCGGUGAGGGUUGCGGCCCUCGCCCGGCCUCUCCUAGGCCGCCGGCGAGGCGGCUUCGCCCGAAUCUGGGCGAGGCUGGCCUCGCCCAGGUCUUGCCGUGGGCGAAGGUGGCCUCGCCCGCGGCUGGCGAGGCCAUGGAGGCCAUCGCGAAGGCGGAGGCAAGGGCCGUGAAGCCCUCGCCAACCGCUGGAGAGGGUUGCGGCCCUCGGCCCUCGCCUCCGCCCUGGUGAUGGCCGCCUUCACACCAGCAAAGCCGAAAGUGCAGCACAGCGCAAAACUCAGAUUUUUCCAUCCCGCGAAGUGAACCCGCAAAACCCAUUCCUCCUCUCUCUCUCUCUCUCUCUCUCUCUCUCUCUCUCUCUCGCCUUUGCUGAACCCACCAUCUCCCGCAGAAGCUUCGGGAAAUGGUGGAAAGCCCGAUUGAAUCUAGAGAACUUCCCCCUUCUUCUCGCUUCGGAUUGGAGGAGAGCAGGUGGUGGUUGCUUGAUCGGGGGGAGCGAUGGGGGACACGAACGCCGUGGCCGGUAGCCUGACCUGGGUGAGGCCAGCCUCGCCUAGAUCUGAGCGAAGCCGCCUCGCCGACGGCUUGGGAGAGGCCCGGCGAGGGCAGGCGAGGGCUUCAGGGCCCUCGCCCAAUGGCCGGCGAGCCUCACCGGAGGCUGGCCGGCCACCGCCGAAAAAGAAAUGGAAAAAGAAAAAAAUAAUAAGAAAAAAUUAAUAAAAACAUUCGAAAAAAUCAUAAAAAUUGCCACGUUAGCGUCCGGUCACUGACUGACGUCCAUGUCAGCGCCGGCCGAUCAAAAUGGGCCGGAUGAACUAAAUUAGUAUCAAUAUUAAAAGGUUUAUGACUAAAUUGAUCCAAUUAAGAAGUUUAUGACUAAAUUUGUACCAAUACAAUAGAUUUAGGACUUUUUUGGUACUUUUCCCAUUGAUUUUGUUGAAUUGGUUACUCCUGCCCUUUUCCUGAUGGUCGUGUUCAAUAAAUGAAGAAGUCAUUGUCUAGCUGGUCCACUUUUUUUUUUUUUUUCUCAGGUGAUUUCUUCCGAACUGUGAUAAUUAGUAUAAGCGUUUGAGUUAAGUGCACCGGAAGAGUUUGCAGUAGGUGGAUCGCUUGUUACAUGUUCGGUGCGUGGAUUAGGAUUAUUGGAAUACAAAAGAAAGCUGGUUUAGCUUCCCUUCUAUAUUUAUGUCCUCUGUACAGCUCACCUUUUUCAGUUGUCUCUAGAGUCGAGCAAUAAUGUCCAUCCGUCUCGUUGUCACCAAUUUUCAAGGUACAUCAAUUCACAGGAUUUUAUGAUAUUAUGUAUGAAUCGCAUCAUCGAUAACAUAUUUAGAAAUUUUGAAUUUCAAUAUAAAAUAAUACGAAUUAUAUUAAGAGUACCAUGUUAAAUGAUGCGAUAAUUUUUUAUUAAAUAAUAAGAUAUGACAGCUCGUUUACUUAAAAGGCACUUCAUUUAAUGCGUCAAUACGCUUUUUCGUGUAACCAAUUAAGAUGUGUCCCAUCUGAUGCAUUGCCCGUUAACCUAGGUGACCUCACCAGCCUACAGCAUAGACAACAUGUAUGAAAAGAGCCAGCGAUAUUUAUUUGGCAAUCGACAGAAAAAUGAAAUUAGGAUUGGAAUUAAGCAUAUUGACUAGGUCUCUUGCCAAUUAUUUAUUUGACUUUUUUUUUCCCAACUUCGUCGUCAAUCGAUUGGGCGAUGACAUUGACUUGACUUGGGUUUAGGUUUUUUCAAAUGUCUACCAGAGGCAUUUCGAGAUUGAAAAGUCCAGCCAAACCUCCUACAGUCCUCUUCAACUACUCUCUCCCCAUAUCCUUUCUUCCUUCUUCUUCAUCUUCUCUUCCUCGAGAAAAUCUUCACUGAACGUCAAGGGAUCGACAGAAGCAUGGAUCGAGAGCAAGAAGAGAUGCAGUUCCUCGGCCUCGUCGGCAUCUGCAAAGAGUCCUGCAAGGUCAUCUUCUCAUGGAGGAAGAUCUUCAUCCAGAUCACCUUGGCCCUGAUCCUCCCUCUCGCCUUCGUCUUCCUCCUCCACAUCGAAGUCUCCGACGUCCUCUACUGGCGGAUCGUCCGCAACGCGAUCCAGCUCAACGAGACCCGCCCCGAUAGUUCCCGCCACGACAGGAUCUCCAGCGUCCUCUCCAAGGAGUUGACCGUCUACCUGCUCUUCAAUGCCCUCUACUUCACCGUCCUCCUCGUGUUCUCCCUCCUCUCGACCUCGGCCAUCGUCUACACCAUCGCGUGCAUCUACACCGGCC
RNAcentral lists this long non-coding RNA (6826 nucleotides) under Eucalyptus grandis. RNAcentral's name for it is "long non-coding RNA (EGRA_LNC007237)". The record is from RNAcentral. Lineage: Eukaryota; Viridiplantae; Streptophyta; Magnoliopsida; Myrtales; Myrtaceae.